CACGUAGGGCGCGAGCGUUGUCCGGAAUUAUUGGGCGUAAAGAGCUCGUAGGCGGCCUGUUGCGUCCGCUGUGAAAGCCCGGGGCUUAACCCCGGGUCGGCAGUGGAUACGGGCAGGCUAGAGGUAGGUAGGGGAGAAUGGAAUUCCCGGUGUAGCGGUGAAAUGCGCAGAUAUCGGGAGGAACACCAGUGGCGAAGGCGGUUCUCUGGGCAUUACCUGACGCUGAUGCGCGAAAGCAAGGGGAGCGAACGGG
This 253-nucleotide ribosomal RNA is filed under the name uncultured bacterium. RNAcentral's name for it is "partial 16S ribosomal RNA". It matches the Rfam family "Bacterial small subunit ribosomal RNA", at positions 524 to 776 of the family's 1533-position model. The record is from RNAcentral.